RNAcentral lists this ribosomal RNA (911 nucleotides) under Oxyporus corticola. RNAcentral's name for it is "eukaryotic LSU rRNA". It matches the Rfam family "Eukaryotic large subunit ribosomal RNA", at positions 66 to 961 of the family's 3401-position model. Lineage: Eukaryota; Fungi; Basidiomycota; Agaricomycetes; Hymenochaetales; Schizoporaceae. The record is from RNAcentral.
UAACAAGGAUUCCCCUAGUAACUGCGAGUGAAGCGGGAAAAGCUCAAAUUUAAAAUCUGGCGGGUUCCCCGUCCGAGUUGUAAUCUGGAGAAGUGUUUUCCGUGUCGGACCGUGUACAAGUCCCUUGGAAUGGGGCGUCAUAGAGGGUGAGAAUCCCGUCCAUGACACGGACUACCGAUGCUUUGUGAUACACUCUCAAAGAGUCGAGUUGUUUGGGAAUGCAGCUCAAAAUGGGUGGUAAAUUCCAUCUAAAGCUAAAUAUUGGCGAGAGACCGAUAGCGAACAAGUACCGUGAGGGAAAGAUGAAAAGCACUUUGGAAAGAGAGUUAAACAGUACGUGAAAUUGUUGAAAGGGAAACGCUUGAAGUCAGUCGCGUCCGUCGAGACUCAGCCUUGCCUUUGGGCCUGGUGUACUUCUCGGUGGACGGGUCAACAUCGAUUUUGAAUGGCAGAUAAAGGUCUGGGGAAUGUGGCACCUCCGGGUGUGUUAUAGCCCCUCUCCGUAUAUGCUGUUUGGGAUCGAGGACCGCAGCACGCCCUUGUGGCCGGGGUUUUACCCACGUACCGUGCUUAGGAUGUUGGCAUAAUGGCUUUAAGCGACCCGUCUUGAAACACGGACCAAGGAGUCUAACAUGCCUGCGAGUGUUAGGGUGCAAAACCCUUGCGCGUAAUGAAAGUGAAAGUUGGGACCUCUGUCGAGGAGGGCACCGACGCCCGGCCCUGAACUCUUGUGACGGUGCUGCGGUAGAGCAUGUAUGUUGGGACCCGAAAGAUGGUGAACUAUGCCUGAAUAGGGCGAAGCCAGAGGAAACUCUGGUGGAGGCUCGUAGCGAUUCUGACGUGCAAAUCGAUCGUCAAAUUUGGGUAUAGGGGCGAAAGACUAAUCGAACCAUCUAGUAGCUGGUUCCUGC